GCUGGAGUUUCGCGGGAAAUAGUUGAUGAACACGAAGCCCCGGGCCUGAUCGAUGCAGUGGAAGAGCGGGUUCCAGUCGAAGAGCAUCAGCAUGGUCGGCGGCAGGGCGUUGGCGACGAACAUCUUGCCCGAGGCGAUCAUGUUGGCCCGUUG
This 153-nucleotide non-coding RNA is filed under the name Roseovarius indicus. RNAcentral's name for it is "Roseovarius sp. B108 Ruegeria cis2 sRNA". It matches the Rfam family "Ruegeria cis2 sRNA". Rfam says of the family: Cis-encoded. Targets ABC transporter. Functions in transport. The record is from Rfam by way of RNAcentral. Lineage: Bacteria; Pseudomonadati; Pseudomonadota; Alphaproteobacteria; Rhodobacterales; Roseobacteraceae.